UGAGGAAUAUUGCACAAUGGGCGAAAGCCUGAUGCAGCAACGCCGCGUGCGGGACGAAGGCCUUCGGGUCGUAAACCGCUUUUCUGAGGGACGAGCAAGGACGGUACCUCAGGAAUAAGUCUCGGCUAACUACGUGCCAGCAGCCGCGGUAAAAACGUAGGAGGCGAGCGUUAUCCGGAUUUACUGGGCGUAAAGCGCACGCAGGUGGCUUAGCAAGUCGGACAUGAAAGCUCCUGGCUUAACUGGGAGAGGUGGUUCGAAACUGCUGAGCUUGAGGUUGGGAGAGGGACGUGGAAUUCCCGGUGUAGUGGUGGAAUGCGUAGAUAUCGGGAGGAACACCAGUGGCGCAAGCGGCGUCCUGGCCACACCUGACGCUGAGGUGCGAAAGCGUGGGUAGCAAACAGGAUUAGAUACCCUGGUAGUCCACGCUGUAAACGAUAGUCAACUAAGGUGUCGGCAGUUUUACACUGGCGGUGCCGAAGCUAACGCGUUAAGUUGA
Molecule: ribosomal RNA, 499 nt
Filed under: uncultured bacterium
Lineage: Bacteria
Description: bacterial SSU rRNA
Rfam family: Bacterial small subunit ribosomal RNA
Source: RNAcentral